UACGUUCGGAUUGUAGGCUGAAACUACGCCUACAUGAAGCUGGAAUUGCUAGUAAUCACAGGUCAGCAUACUGUGGUGAAUACGUUCCCGGGCCUUGUACACACCGCCCGUCACACCAUGAGAGUUGAGAAUACCCGAAGCCCAUGUCAAAGUGGUCGAAGGUAGGCUUGAUGAUUGGGGUGAAGUCGUAACAAGGUACC
This 200-nucleotide ribosomal RNA is filed under the name uncultured bacterium. RNAcentral's name for it is "partial 16S ribosomal RNA". It matches the Rfam family "Bacterial small subunit ribosomal RNA", at positions 1288 to 1500 of the family's 1533-position model. The record is from RNAcentral.